RNAcentral lists this transfer RNA (73 nucleotides) under Armatimonadota bacterium. RNAcentral's name for it is "Armatimonadetes bacterium (soil metagenome) tRNA-Gly". Lineage: Bacteria; Bacillati; Armatimonadota. The record is from RNAcentral.
GGAAGCCAAUCUCGCGGUAAAGGCGAAGAUCUGCCUCCCACGCAGAAGGUCGCGGGUUCAAAUCCCGUCUCCC